GCUUAACUGCGAGACCGACAAGUCGAGCAGGUACGAAAGUAGGACAUAGUGAUCCGGUGGUUCUGUAUGGAAGGGCCAUCGCUCAACGGAUAAAAGGUACUCUGGGGAUAACAGGCUGAUUCCUCCCAAGAGUUCAUAUCGACGGGGGAGUUUGGCACCUCGAUGUCGUCUCAUCACAUCCUGGGGCUGUAGCCGGUCCCAAGGGUAUGGCUGUUCGCCAUUUAAAGUGGUACGUGAGCUGGGUUUAAAACGUCGUGAGACAGUUUGGUCCCUAUCUGCCGUGGGCGUUGGAAAUUUGAAGGGGGCUGCUCCUAGUACGAGAGGACCGGAGUGGACGAACCUCUGGUGUACCGGUUGUCACGCCAGUGGCAUUGCCGGGUAGCUAAGUUCGGAAGAGAUAACCGCUGAAAGCAUCUAAGCGGGAAACUCGCCUUGAGAUGAGAUUUCCCGGAGCCUUGAGCUCCUUGAAGGGUCGUUCGAGACCAGGACGUUGAUAGGUCAGGUGUGGAAGUGCAGUAAUGCAUUAAGCUAACUGAUACUAAUUGCCCGUACGGCUUGUCCCU
Molecule: ribosomal RNA, 563 nt
Filed under: Nocardioides sp. JGI 0001009-J09
Lineage: Bacteria; Bacillati; Actinomycetota; Actinomycetes; Propionibacteriales; Nocardioidaceae
Description: bacterial LSU rRNA
Rfam family: Bacterial large subunit ribosomal RNA
Source: RNAcentral